GUGCUCGCUUCAGCAGCACAUACACUAAAACUGGAAUGAUACAGAAAAGAUUAGCAUGGCCCUGCACACGUAUGACACCGAGGAGCCUGAGAGAAUUAACUUUGUUUU
Molecule: small nuclear RNA, 108 nt
Organism: Suricata suricatta (meerkat)
Lineage: Eukaryota; Metazoa; Chordata; Mammalia; Carnivora; Herpestidae
Source: Ensembl